Molecule: long non-coding RNA, 240 nt
Filed under: Elaeis guineensis (African oil palm)
Lineage: Eukaryota; Viridiplantae; Streptophyta; Magnoliopsida; Arecales; Arecaceae
Description: long non-coding RNA (EGUI_LNC013065)
Source: RNAcentral
GGUUGCCUAGGCCUCUCUCAGCUGCACGGCCUCUCAGACCUCCUGCUGAGACAUCUGCGGUGUGCCCCUCACAUCUCUCUGUUCGCCGCACAGGGCCCUUUAAAGGCUUCAAUCCGGGUCUAGAUCGAAAAUAGGAUUGAAAUAGAACUCUAACAACACCUCGGCCAUUCGAUCAGCAUCCCAAAUCACCUGAUCAUGCCCGCAUGCUAUUCGAACCAUCCGAUCAUGCACCAAACCAUG